Molecule: ribosomal RNA, 530 nt
Filed under: uncultured bacterium
Lineage: Bacteria
Description: bacterial SSU rRNA
Rfam family: Bacterial small subunit ribosomal RNA
Source: RNAcentral
AAUAGAUACCCGGGUAGUCCUAGCUGUAAACGAUCAGUACUAGACGGAGGGGGGCUUGCCCUUCUCGGUCGUAGCGAAAGCGAUAAGUACUGCGCCUGGGGAGUAUGGUCGCAAGACUAAAACAUAAAGGAAUUGACGGGGAUCAGCGCAAGCGGUGGAUCGUGUUCUUUAAUUCGAUGAUAAACGAAGAACCUUACCAGGGCUUGACAUCCAGGGAAGCACUACGAAAGUAGAGUGUGCCUUUUGGAACCCUGUGACAGGUGUUGCAUGGCCGUCGUCAGCUCGUGUCGUGAGAUGUUUGGUUAAGUCCAUCAACGAGCGCAACCCUUGUGAAUAGUUGUAUUUUUCUAUUCAGACUGCUCUAGUAAUAGGGAGGAAGGAGGGGAUGAUGUCAGGUCAGUAUUACCCUUACGUCCUGGGCUAGAAACACGAUACAAUGGCAAGUACAAUGCGCAGCGAAGCAGUGAUGUGGAGCAAAUCGCACCAAAGCUUGUCCCAGUUCGGAUAAGAGGCUGAAACUCGCCUCGUUU